CCUCCUGAGUAGCCCAGUUUGGUUCUGACCUCAGUGCUCCCACUCAACUUUUGAGUCGUGGUGUGCGUCUAAUUGAGUUGCUGAAGCAAGGACAGUGUUCUCCCAUGGUUACUGAAGAACAAGUGGCUGUUAUCUAUGUGGGUGUAAAGGGGGUAUCGUGAUAAACUGGAGCCCAGCAAGAUUACGAAAUUUGAGAAUGCUUUCUUGUCUCGUGUUGUCAGCCAGCACUAAGCCCUGCUGGGCACUAUCAGGGCUGAUGGAAAGAUCUCAGAAGACUCAGAUGCAAAGCUGACGGAGAUUGUAACAAACUUCUGGCUGGAUUUGAAGCUUAAACUCCUAUGGAUUCACAUCAAAUAUCAGUUCAGUUUUGUCAUUGUUUGUUCUAGUAAAUUAGGUUCGUUUGUAAAAGGGUUACUCUCAUACUCCUUAUGUACAAAAAUCACAUUUAAAAGUUUCCGUAAUGCAUUAAAAAAAAAAAAGAAAAAAAGAAUUCCAGGGACCAGGCGGCCGCCGCAGUUGAGCACAGCUGCUCCGUGCUGGAGUCCUUGCACCACUACCAGGAUCAUGGUGUUCUACUUCACCAGCAGCAGCGUUAAUUCAUCUGCCUGCACUAUUUACAUGGGAAAGGAUAAAUAUCAUCAUGAAGAUCUGAUCAAGCAUGAUUGGCCUCAAUAUAUCUGGUUUCAUGUGGCCAAAGUCUCUUUGGCUCAUAUGUACCUUCGGUUGCAUAAGGGAGAGAAUAUAGAAGACAUUCCAAAGGAAGUGCUGAUAGACUGUGCCCACUUGUGAAGGCCAAUAGCAUUCAAGGCUGCAAAAUGAACAGCGUUAAUGUGGUAUAUAUGCUGUGGUCUAAUCUGAAGAAAACAGCUGACGUGGAUGUGGGGCAGAUAGUAUUUCACAGGCAGAAGGAUGUAAAAAUUGUGACAAUGGAGAAGAAAGUAAAUGAGAUCCUAAACCGAUUAGAAAAAAGCAAAGUGGAGCGGUUCCCAGACCUAGCAGCAGAGAAAGAAUGCAGAGAUUGUGAAGAGAAGAAUGAGAAAGAAGCCCAAAUUCAGGAAAUGAAAAAGAGAGAAAAAGAAAAUAUGAAGAAGAGAGAAAUGGAUGAACUUAGGAGCUAUUCAUCACGAAUGAAAGUUGAAAAUAUGUCUUCAAAUCAGGAUGGCAGUGAUUCAGAUGAAUUCAUGUAACAGGAGAAAAGGACCUUUGAAAGAUGUGAAUGUAGAGACAAUUGCAGACCUUUUGGUUUCAUCUGUGUUCUGAAGUAUAAAAUGCAACCAAAAUUCUACUUUCAUCCUACCCAGAAAUGAUUGACUUUGGAGUUUUAAAAAAAUUUUACCUUUUUUGCUGACAUAAAAGGAUCAGAUAUGUAUAAAAUAGUUGAACUUGACUGCAUAUAACUUAAAGUGAAAAUGUUUUGGCUAGAACAUGUCUUGGUACCUUGUGAAAGCCAGCUGCCCUUGUUCUUGAGCUAGACUUUAAAACGAACUAACUCUGAAAAGUACUUCUGUUGCUGUGGUCUAUCCCUGAAAACAGGUGUCUUGAAACACUUUUCAUAUUCUUAAAAUAAUCUUCACUUCUGUUAAGAAGAACAUGUUGAUGGGUAAUUAUGCGAAUGUUUCCCUGUCCCUGAUUUCGCCGUUAGAAAAAAUGGUGUAUGAGUUUUGAAAAAGAGAUUUCCAGAAGAUUGUUGGCUUCAGUAUUCACGUUCCAUCGUGUCAUCUGGGUCUGUUAGUAUAGUGACCCUGCACGCAGCCUGUCCCAGCUUUUACGUCCUUGCUUCCUCUGAGCAGGGGACUCCAUCUUAGUAUCAUCAUAUUUAAAUAAAUCGAUGGUGUUCAUCAAGGUGGGGCCUGUGGCAGUUGUUGCCUGAGCACCAAGUCACCCAAGUCACCUAUGCAACAACUUCUGGGCUCAGGAGUAAUUUCUCAGCACUGAGGGUAAAAUAGGAAGGAAUGCUCUGUUGAUCAUUUGGGAGAUGUAGGUUAGCUGAUUGGUGCCUUGGGAUGCAGCAUGAAGCAGAAGUCCAUAUUGCAAUUAUGAUUUUAGAAGGAACUAAGCAUUUCACCAGCCAGCCAAGUAAUUAUUUUCUUUACCUUGAAAUCAUAUUUGAGUUGUAACCCCAGAGUUCAAUUUCUUAUUGUAAAUUCACUAACUUACUGUGUAACAUUACUUCUCACUUGAACCUCUCACUAUCUGUUGUGAUUCUGAGCAGAAGAUGUCUUUUGAUUGCAGUAUGUAAGGCAACCCCUGUAGAAGGAGACAAAAUGAGGAGAAAGAGAACAAAGCCUGCAGGACCAGAGGCAUACAGAUGGACAUUUUACUCACACCCACAGCAGCAAGAAUGACUUCCUGCAGCAUAUACUCCACGUGUAAUAGCACUUUGGAACUGUGGGCAAAACCAAAAGGCUAGUGUUUCCAUUUAUGUAUGGGGUUGAACUGGAAAAUUCCCUGAGGCAUAAUUCAUUGGCCAAAUUUUGAGAGGGUAUAGAAGAUGACUUUAGAAAUGAGUGGUUUUGGCCGGGCGCGGUGGCUCAAGCCUGUAAUCCCAGCACUUUGGGAGGCCGAGACGGGCG
This is a non-coding RNA of Chlorocebus sabaeus (green monkey), 2573 nucleotides long. The record is from RefSeq and is a predicted model, not a curated record. Lineage: Eukaryota; Metazoa; Chordata; Mammalia; Primates; Cercopithecidae.